Molecule: long non-coding RNA, 212 nt
Filed under: Elaeis guineensis (African oil palm)
Lineage: Eukaryota; Viridiplantae; Streptophyta; Magnoliopsida; Arecales; Arecaceae
Description: long non-coding RNA (EGUI_LNC082513)
Source: RNAcentral
GCCUGGGCAUACUUGCGCAUCCGGUCAAGUAUCUCAUUGUAGGUGUUGGGUAUAAAAUACCCUCAGCCAAAGUUCUUAACAGGAUUGACCCUCCCGAGACUCCUCCAGCUGUCAACCGCAGACGGUAUCUCCCCGGACUUCUCCAACAGUCGGAUUCCCACAGUGCUGACUGAAUUUCCCUGACAGACGAACUCCAACUACACCACCCGAGC